Molecule: long non-coding RNA, 1186 nt
Filed under: Homo sapiens (human)
Lineage: Eukaryota; Metazoa; Chordata; Mammalia; Primates; Hominidae
Description: non-protein coding LINC02482:20
Source: RNAcentral
GCCCGCUGUAGCGCCACAGCUCUUUGGGCGUUGAUUCUAGGGUCAGGGCCCUCACUCACACUGCUGGAAGGUUAAAGUCGACUUCACGCUAGUUUAAGGAAAUAUCUGACGCUGAUAACCAUGUCCCAAGCACUGCUCUAAGUUCCCAAUGUGUCCGGAAUUGGUGGGUUCUUGGUCUCACUGACUUCAAGAAUGAAGCCACGGACCCUCGCGGUGAGUGUUACAGCUCUUAAAGUGGCGCGUCUGGAGUUUGUUCCUUCUGAUGUUCGGAUGUGUUCGGAGUUUUUUCCUUCUGGUGGGUUCGUGGUCUCGCCGGCUCAGGAGUGAAACUGCAGACCUGUUACGGCUCAUAAAGGCAGUGUGGACCCAAAGAGUGAGCAGCAGCAGGAUUUAUUGCAAAGAGAGAAAGAACAAAGCUUCCACAAUAGAAGGGGACCUGAGCCGGUUGCCACUGCUGGCUCCGGCAGCCUGCUUUUAUUGUCUUAUCUGGCCCCACCCACAUCCUGCUGAUUGGUAGAGCCGAGUGGUCUGUUUUGACAGGGUGCUGAUUGGUGCGUUUACAAUCCCUGAGCUAGACACAAAGGUUCUCCACAUCCCCACCAGACUCAGGAGCCCAGCUGGCUUCACCAAGUGGAUCCCACACCAGGGCUGCAGGUGGAGCUGCCUGCGAGAACGGCACCGUGCGCCCACACUCCUCAGCCCUUGGGUGGUGAUGGGACUGGGCGCCGUGGAGCAGGGGGUGGUGCUCGUCGAGGAGGCUCGGGCAGCACAGGAGCCCAUGGAGGGGGUGGGAGGCUCAGGCAUGGCGGGCUGCAGGUCCCGAGCCCUGCCCCUCGGAAAGGCAGCUAAGGCCCGGUGAGAAAUCGAGCACAGCGCCGGUGGGCUGGCACUGCUGAGGGACCCAGUACACCCUCCGCAGCCGCUGGCCCGGGUGCUAAGCCCCUCAUUGCCGGGGGCUGGCAGGGCCAGCCGGCUGCUCCGAGUGCGGGGCCCACCAAGCCCACGCCCACCCUGAACUCCAGCUGGCCCGCAAGCGCCGUGUGCAGCCCCGGUGCCCGCUCGCGCCUCUCCCUCCACACCUCCCUGCAAGCUGAGAGAGCCGGCUCUGGCCUUGGCCAGCCCAGAAAGGGGCCUCCACAGUGCAGCAGUGGGCUGAAGGGCUCCUCAAGUGCUGCCAAAGUGGGAG